CAAAAGUUGUUGGAAUUUAAAAGUUUUACAACUCUUAUUUGGGCAGAAACUUAAGUUUGUAUAAAAAAAAUUCAAGCUUUAAUUCAAACUCCAAAAAGAGCUUCUUAGGUUUAUAAAGGUCAUUUCACUUCUUAACUUAGGGAUUUGAUUUGUCACUAGUUUAUAGUUAAAAGCACUUAAUUUAGGUAGAGUUUUUACAGAAGCGCGACUGAGGGAUGACGGAAAAAGCCGAAAGGCGUUGGGGCGCGGCCGGGGAUCCUUGUGAGGAGAGGUGCGCGGGAGGCGAGGUGGACUAGCGCGGCAGCGGCCACUCUUCGGUCGCAAGGGUGGCAGGCGCCUGGCGCGGCCGGCAAGAUUUCGAGCAAGACGAGACGGGGCGGAGAGUCUGCAGGGCGCUUUUGCGCGUGGUUGGGAAGGGGGCGCACUG
This 427-nucleotide long non-coding RNA is filed under the name Setaria viridis. Its description in RNAcentral is "long non-coding RNA (SVIR_LNC007752)". Lineage: Eukaryota; Viridiplantae; Streptophyta; Magnoliopsida; Poales; Poaceae. The record is from RNAcentral.